This 406-nucleotide ribosomal RNA is filed under the name uncultured bacterium. RNAcentral describes it as "partial 16S ribosomal RNA". It matches the Rfam family "Bacterial small subunit ribosomal RNA", at positions 30 to 526 of the family's 1533-position model. The record is from RNAcentral.
AUUGAACGCUGGCGGCAGGCCUAACACAUGCAAGUCGAGCGAGCGGCGGACGGGUGAGUAAUGUCUGGGAACCUGCCUGAUGGGGAGGGAUAACUACUGGAACCGGUAGCUACUACCGCGUCCCAUCAGAUGUGCCCAGAUGGGAUUAGCUAGUAGGUGGGGUAACGGCCUACCUAGGCGACGAUCCCUAGCUGGUCUGAGAGGAUGAUCAGCCACACUGGAACUGAGACACGGUCCAGACUCCUACGGGAGGCAGCAGUGGGGAAUAUUGGACAAUGGGCGAAAGCCUGAUGCAGCCAUGCCGCGUGUGUGAAGAAGGUCUUCGGGUUGUAAAGCACUUUAAGCGGGGAGGCGUUACCCGCAGAAGAAGCACCGGCUAACUCCGUGCCAGCAGCCGCGGUAAUUC